GGUUGAUCCUGCCAGUAGUCAUAUGCUUGUCUCAAAGACUAAGCCAUGCAUGUCUAAGUAUAAACAAUUUUAUACUGCGAAACUGCGAACGGCUCAUUAUAUCAGUUAUAAUCUACUUGAUCGUAUCCUCUUACUUGGAUAACCGUAGUAAUUCUAGAGCUAAUACAUGCAAAAGAUCCCGACUGGUGACGGAAGGGAUGUAUUUAUUAGAUCCAAAAUCAAUACUGGCUUCGGCUAGGAAAAAUUGAUGAUUCAUAAUAACUAAACGAAGCGCAGAGGGCUUGUCCCGGCG
Molecule: ribosomal RNA, 292 nt
Filed under: uncultured eukaryote
Lineage: Eukaryota
Description: partial 18S ribosomal RNA
Rfam family: Eukaryotic small subunit ribosomal RNA
Source: RNAcentral